GGGUUCGAUCCCUGGGUUGGGAAGAUCCCCUGGAGAAGGAAAUGGCAACCCACUCCAGUAUUUUUGCGUGGAGAAUCCCAUGGACGGAGGCGCCUGGUGGGCUACAGUCCACGGGUCACAAAGAGUCAAACACGACUGAACGACUUCACUUCACUUUCAUGUUUCUUACACACAUGAAUGGCUUUGAUAAAAAUACCAAAAGAAAAGAUAAGGUACCUUGGUGUUUAUUUAAACUAAGAGAAAAAGGGCACAUCUUCAUGCAAUACUUAUUUGGUUCUUUAAAUAACAAUUGUGACAAAUAGCAGAAAGAAUUAAGGAAUGCAGCAGUUGAUAGCUGUUCAAAACAUCAAUAUUUUGGGUUGUACAUAAAGACAUGUCUCAAACACUUUUUGAAAUACCAUAAUAGCCAAUACUAGAGGCAUGCCUUCAGUAGGCACGGGAAUGCAGUUUAGAAAAAAGAAAAAACAAAUCAUGCAAGACUACUGAAUUUCAUUAAAAUCACUGAGCAAGAAAAGCAACAUUGGGAACUUCCCUGGUGGUGCAGUGGUUAAGAAUCUGCCUGACAACGCAGGAGACAGGGGCUCAAUCCCUUGUGAGGAAGAUCCCACAUGCCUGGGAGCAGGUAAGCCCCUGCACCACAAUUUCUGAGCCUGUGUGCUGCAGCUACUGAAGCCCAUGAACCCAAGAGUCAAGCACCACAACUUCUGAAACCUGCUUGCUUAAAGCCCGUGCUCUGCCACAAGAGAAGCCUGUGCCCCACAACAAGAGUAGGCCCUGCUAGUCACAUCGAGAAAAAGCUGGCGCGCAGCAACGAAGAC
Bos taurus (domestic cattle) is the source of this 818-nucleotide long non-coding RNA. The record is from Ensembl. NCBI's taxonomy places the organism in Eukaryota, Metazoa, Chordata, Mammalia, Artiodactyla, Bovidae.